This is an RNA transcript of Oreochromis niloticus (Nile tilapia), 4875 nucleotides long. It is a transcript of the gene named protein NLRC3, with no coding region annotated. The record is from RefSeq and is a predicted model, not a curated record. NCBI's taxonomy places the organism in Eukaryota, Metazoa, Chordata, Actinopteri, Cichliformes, Cichlidae. The transcript has 11 exons.
UUCCUGUUGAGAGGGGAGGAGCUGCUUUGCUGAGGUGAGGAGAAAACAAAGUACUGUAAUUUCAGUUUCUACAGUCAUGAAGCAGACGAGUGAAAAAAAAGGAAGCCUAAAGAUGAGUGUUUUGGAGGGGAACAUAGCAGCGUUUCUAGGAUCCAGCUCUGUGUCCAUGAACAGUGACAAAUUCAGAGAUUAUCAUCCAGUCUUCAGUCAUGAACUUGGAUCAUCAGGCAAAAAACGUCAACAACACAAACACAGAGCAGAGUUUCCAGGAUCCAGCUCUGUGUCCAUGAACAGUGACAUGUCCAGAGAAUAUCCUCCAGUCUUCGGUCAUGAACCUGGACCUUCAGUCACACAACGUCAACAACACAAACACAGAGCAGAGUUUCCAGGAUCCAGCUCUGUGUCCAUGAACAGUGACAUGUCCAGAGAAUACCCUCCAGUCUUCAGUCAUGAACCUGGAUCCCCAGUCACACAAGAGAAGAAGAGGAAUUUCUUUGUGGAGAAGCCGGUGUCCUGCUGUGCAUUGCAUCAGGAUGUCCUGAAGGAUUCAUCUACAGACUUCUGUCCCCAAUGUGGAGUCAAGUCUGGAACCAGAACUUCUCAGCAGACAACCAAUACUGAUCUAGAAAAAUGUUUAGAUGCGUUAAAAGUCACUCUGAGGACACGAUAUGAACGUGUGAUUGAAGGAACCGAUAAAACAGGAAUUGGAGCCCUCCUCAGAUUGAUCUACACUGAGCUCUACAUCACAGAGGAGCAGAGUGAAGCAGUACACUUCCAACAUGAGGUGAGGCAGGUGGAGAGCACUUGUAAGAAGAUCCACCGUGAAACACCAAUCAGCAGCAAGGACAUCUUUAAAGUGUUAGCUGACCAACAGAGACCCAUCAGAGUGGUUCUGACAUAUGGCGUUGCUGGCAUUGGAAAAACCUUCUUGGUGCAGAAGUUCACUCUGGACUGGGCAGAGGGCUUAGAAAACCAACACAUCAGUGCGGUGGUUCUGCUUUCAUUCAGGGAGCUGAACUUGGUCAGAGAUGAGCAGUACAGUCUCCUGGAGCUGAUCCAUGUUUUCUAUCCAAGAUUACAGAGCGUCACAGCAGAGCAGCUCACUGUGUGUAAUCUUUUGUUCAUCUUUGACGGCCUGGAUGAAAGCAGACUUUUGUUGGAUUUCACCAACAGGAAGCUUGUGUCUGAUGUCACACAGAAGUCAUCAGUCAGUGAGCUGCUGACAAAUCUCAUCGAGGGGAAUCUGCUUCCCUCUGCUCUCAUCUGGAUAACUUCCCGACCUGCAGCAGUCAGUCAGAUCCCUCCUAAAUGUGUUGACAGGAUGACAGAAGUUCGAGGCUUCACUGACUCUCAGAAGGAGGAGUACUUCAGGAGGAGAUUCAGAAAUAAAGAGCUGUCAAGCAGAAUCAUCUCCCACUUGAAGACAUCCAGGAGCCUUUACAUUAUGUGUGGGAUCCCAGUCUUCUGCUGGAUCACUGCUACAGUUGUGGAGCACAUGUUGACUACAGAGCAGAGAGGAGAGCUGCCCAAGACCCUGACUGACAUGUACUCACACUUCCUGCUGGUUCAGACAAAGAAAAAGCAAAAGUACCACGAGGGACAAGAGAUGAAUCAGCAAGAGUUCACCAGUGCUGACUGGGAAGUUCUUCUGAAGCUGGGGAGGCUAGCGUUUGAACAUCUGCAGAAAAAAAGCAUCCUGUUCUACCAAGAAGACUUGGAGCAGUGUGGUCUGGAUGUCACAGAGGCCUCAGUGUACUCAGGAGUUUGUACAGAGAUCCUCAAAAGAGAGUCUGUGAUCUUCCAGAAACCAGUUUACUGCUUUGUUCAUCUGAGUGUUCAGGAGUUUCUGGCUGCAGUCUACAUGUUCCACUGUUACACCAACAGGAAGACAGAGGUGCUGCAGGACUUCUUUACUGAGGACGAUAAAGGAAAUAAGAUAUCUUUGAAAGAUAUCUCAUCUCUGGAAGAUUUUCUAAGCAGAGCCAUGGAAGAAUCCUUGAAAGUUCCGAAUAGCCACCUGGAACUGUUUGUGCGCUUCCUUCAUGGCCUCUCUAUGAAAUCAAACCAGAGACUCUUAGGAGGUUUAUUGGGUCAGACAGAGAGCAGUCCAGAAAUCAUCCAGAGAGUCAUCAACAACCUGAAGAAGAUUAGCAGUGAAGGCAAGUGUCCUGAAAGAUGCAUAAACAUUCUUUACUGUCUCAUGGAGAUGAAUGACAUCUUAGUACAUCAGGAGAUCCAAGAGUUUCUAAAGUCACAGAACACGUCAGAGAAGAAACUCUCUGAAAUCGAGUGCACAGCUUUGGCACAUAUGUUGAUGAUGUCAGAGAACGUUAUGGAGGAGUUUGAUCUGCAGAAGUACAACACAUCACGGGAUGGACGAUGGAGCCUGCUUCCAGCUGUGGUGAACUGCAGAAAGGCUCGACUUCAUGAUGUUCAUGUCUUUGGGAAAAGCUGUGGAUCUUUGGCCUUAGCUCUGACCUCAGACCCCUCCCAUCUGAGAGAGCUGCACAUGAAAUCAGUGAGACUGGAGGAAGACGCAGAAGAACUUUUUACUCAUCUGGGGCAUCCAAACUGUAGACUGGAGACACUCAGCUUUGAGGACAGCACUUUGUUAGAGAAGAACUGUUCAGAACUGCUCAGUGCUCUGAAGUCCAACCCCCCCUACCUGAAACAUCUGGAUCUAAUAGGAUGCAACCUGGAGGGUUCAGGAAUGAAACAGCUGUAUGAUUACCUGGAGAGUCCACACUGCAAACUACAGUUUAAAAGAGUGUCUGUGGUUUAGAUGCUGCACUUAGCUGGCUUUGAUGGAUUUAUACAGAAUCUCAGUAUUUGUCUUAAAUAGAUCAAGACAUGCAGUGAUGCCUGCAGAGUCAUCCUGAAAGAAAUCAGUGGUCAACCCAACCCGUGGUUCUACCCAAACUUCCUGAAUCUGUUCCUGAACGUACAAACACAGUGUGGCUUUAACACCAAUAUAAACCUUUGGUUUAUGAAUAAGAGCUUUGGAAAUUGCCGAACCUCUUUUCAGUGGAUGAAGUACAGGACUGAGGUAAAACACCUCGAUCUCACAGUGUGCUGAGGUAAUUUCCACUUCAGUGUAUGCCUUUGCUUCCUGGAUAAUUCCUAUCACUCCAGUGAGUGCAUCAGUACUGGAAUUUUGUCUUUCUCAGCUAAAGGACAUUUUGCUCCAGUAUCUGACAUGUUCCCCAGUUUUGAUUUGUUGCAGAGCAGAAUCUUGUGAUACAGGUUUCAUUGCACUGUUUACACACACAAGGAUCCACUGAGAAGACCACAGUUUGAAUAUAGACUGAAAACACAGAUGUUGUCAUUUAUCUUACAAGAAUCAGUAAACUCUGGAAUAAGUUCUGCUAUGUUAUUUGGACUCCUGUCCUCCUGUUUUAUACCUCAAGAUGCUCUUUUGAGGUACAAUAGCUAGUCUUGGAACUAAAAAGCAGACUUUGCUUGUGCAGGUCCUUGUUUAUUAUUUUACUAUGAGACAUUUUAUUCAUUUAACUACUGUAGUUUCACUGUUUAACAUGUCUUGCUUGUGGUGUUGCAUUACAAUACAGCAGUGUGUUUUCAGUGCUGUGUUAUGUUACAGCUCAGAGAAGGGUGUGUCACAUAUAUACUGUGUUAAAUGGCAGUCCGGUUUUGUACUUUUGCAAUAUUUGGAAAAUACAGAUACUUGGUUAAAUAAGUACAGUCCAUCUGGAAGGUAUUCAGAACAUUUAACUUGCUUACCAUCAUGUUAUGUUACAGUCUUUUUUCAAGAUGGAUCAAAUACAUUUUCAUCUCUACACACAACACAGUGUAAUGAUAAAGAGAUAAAAAAAACUUGAAAUUAUUAUACAUUUAUUUUAAAAAUAUUAUUGAUAUAAACAAUAAAAUGUAAUUGUAGCCUUUGUCCAAUACUUUGUUAAAGCACCUACAGCCUCAGGUUGGAGCAGCAGUACACAGCCAUUAUCAGAGCUCCUUUUUAUUGUUUGGCGAGGUUAAAGUCUGGGCUCUGUCUGGGUCACACAUGGUCACUCUCCCUUAGAAAUCAAAUUUCAAGUAUGAGGAGACUCAUACAUAAGUAUGAUGUAGCUUCACUGUAUGGGUGAUAUUGGCCAGGUGAUGCCUGCUUUUCUCCAGAUGUGACUCUUGGCAUUGAGGCCAAACAGUUCAAUCUUUGUUUCAUCCAAUCAGUUCAUUUUGUUUCUGAUGGUCCGCAAGACCUUCAGGUGCCUUUUGGCAAACUCUAGGCCUGCUAUCAUGCGUCUUUUACUGAGGAUUGGCAUGAUGAUAUGUGGAUCAAGUGAAGUGCAGUGUUUUUUGUUCAUUGCCUUACUGCUGUCACAGUUAUUAAAAUGAAUGUUUAAGAUACAUUUGGUUAAAGUGCAAGGGUGUACAAAAUACAUUUGUCACCAAAGUCUGCUUGUAGACCAACAAAUAUUUAUAUAAUUUGAGAAUAGUAAGACAAAUACAUGUACAGAAAACAUUAAAUAUUUGUUUAUCAUCUCCUCAACCUGCAUUUUAUGGUUAUCCUGUGUUGCAGCACCACUCUGUGGAAUGAUGAAGAACUUCAGUUAAAGCCUACUUUAAAUCUCAGAGGUUGAUGCUUUGACUGAAAGUUUUUAUUUUAAACUGCCAGCAUUAGCUCCUCACAUUAAAGCGGAUCAAAAGAAGAUCCAAGCACCAACAUGUGUUUGUCCCAUAAAACAAAACAGUAAAACAGACACACAAAAAAACUCUGGCUUCAGUAAUCCAACAUAAUCUCACCAAGAUCAAUAGUGUCCCUUAUGGAAAAUAAGGGACACUAUUAAAUAUAUAUGAAUCUCAUAAAGUUUGUAUCUGUCUUGUGUGAAAAGCAUACAAGAGUGAAAACAGAUAUAAGAU